AGUGAACGCUGGCGGUAGGCCUAACACAUGCAAGUCGAACGGCAGCACAGUAAGAGCUUGCUCUUACGGGUGGCGAGUGGCGGACGGGUGGGGAAUACAUCGGAAUCUACUUUUUCGUGGGGGAUAACGUAGGGAAACUUACGCUAAUACCGCAUACGACCUACGGGUGAAAGCAGGGGAUCUUCGGACCUUGCGCGAUUGAAUGAGCCGAUGUCGGGUUAGCUAGUUGGCGGGGUAAAGGCCCACCAAGGCGACGAUCCGUAGCUGGUCUGAGAGGAUGAUCAGCCACACUGGAACUGAGACACGGUCCAGACUCCUACGGGAGGCAGCAGUGGGGAAUAUUGGACAAUGGGCGCAAGCCUGAUCCAGCCAUACCGCGUGGGUGAAGAAGGCCUUCGGGUUGUAAAGCCCUUUUGUUGGGAAAGAAAAGCAGCAGGUUAAUACCCCGCUGUUCUGACGGUACCCAAAGAAUAAGCACCGGCUAACUUCGUG
This 492-nucleotide ribosomal RNA is filed under the name uncultured bacterium. RNAcentral describes it as "partial 16S ribosomal RNA". It matches the Rfam family "Bacterial small subunit ribosomal RNA", at positions 29 to 507 of the family's 1533-position model. The record is from RNAcentral.